CCCAGCCCUAGUGUCACCUGUCCAUCGUUUCCUCAUUAACCUGUGUAUUUAGUCUCUGUGCUUCGUUUGUGUCUUGUGGGAUCAUUACAUUCUGUCUGUGUGAUGCAUGUGUUGCUGUUCAGUGGUGUCAAGUUUUUGUUGAGUUUUUUUGUGUGGGGUACUGUGUGUGCCUGCUCAUUCCUGGCUUCCUUACUUCUGGCCUGCGUGCUUUUAGAACCACUUGGUGGAGCCAGGUGUCCAGCUGCUUCUCAUCAGCCACAAUCAACCUGCGCUUCAUAUACCCGGUUCUUCUUCCUCUCAGCGUCAGAUCACACCCAAAACUUUCACAAUUAGUCUUGUUCCAGCCAACUUUUGCUAGUUCUACAUGUUUUUUCGACCUCUAAUCCUGUUUCUUGUGGCAUCAGUUUGCCGUUUGGACCUGACUCCUGCCACCACUCCACUCCUGCCAAGGACCCGUAUUGGACUCUCAAGACUAGAAAUCCCAUUCUCUGGAUCCAGCCACAAGCCUGCUCUGCCCCGCUCCUUUUUGGAUUAUUUUGGCUCUGCACCCUGGAAAUCUGGACUUUGCACUCUUGAGUACAUUCUAAUAAACCUUGUUAUCAUUUA
This is a long non-coding RNA of Sander lucioperca (pikeperch), 606 nucleotides long. RefSeq lists it as uncharacterized. The transcript has 2 exons. NCBI's taxonomy places the organism in Eukaryota, Metazoa, Chordata, Actinopteri, Perciformes, Percidae. The record is from RefSeq and is a predicted model, not a curated record.